RNAcentral lists this ribosomal RNA (375 nucleotides) under uncultured bacterium. RNAcentral describes it as "bacterial SSU rRNA". It matches the Rfam family "Bacterial small subunit ribosomal RNA", at positions 523 to 898 of the family's 1533-position model. The record is from RNAcentral.
AUACGUAGGGGGCGAGCGUUGUCCGGAAUUAUUGGGCGUAAAGCGCGCGCAGGCGGUCCUUUAAGUCUGGUGUUUAAGUGCGGGGCUCAACCCCGUGACGCACUGGAAACUGGGGGACUUGAGUGCAGAAGAGGAGAGCGGAAUUCCACGUGUAGCGGUGAAAUGCGUAGAGAUGUGGAGGAACACCAGUGGCGAAGGCGGCUCUCUGGCCUGUAACUGACGCUGAGGCGCGAAAGCGUGGGGAGCAAACAGGAUUAGAUACCCUGGUAGUCCACGCCGUAAACGAUGAGUGCUAGGUGUCGGAGGGGUCCACCCUGCGGUGCCGAAGUCAACGCAUUAAGCACUCCGCCUGGGGAGUACGGUCGCAAGACUGAA